This 249-nucleotide long non-coding RNA is filed under the name Lathyrus oleraceus (garden pea). RNAcentral's name for it is "Pisum sativum (pea) long non-coding RNA (PSAT_LNC022160)". Lineage: Eukaryota; Viridiplantae; Streptophyta; Magnoliopsida; Fabales; Fabaceae. The record is from RNAcentral.
AAAAAUAUAACAAACUAAAUAACAAACCCUAAAUCCUAAUUAACUUUGGGCUUGGGCCUCAAACAACUUGGAUUAUAUCUUAUAUCUCAACACAUGUAACCUCCAUUCUUGGUGGUGUGAUGAGGUUCUUCCUUCGUGCCACCAUUUUUCUCUGAUGACGUUUUUCCUCCAUUCAUCCUCGUUGCAGCCGCUCUUCUUCACCGGUGUUUUCUUCAUUCUAUUUUCGAUGGCACACACCAAUUGUUUUUC